AAUUAAAGCAAAGCCACUUUAAUAUUUUUAUUAUUAUUAUUAUUAUUAUUAUUAUUAUUAUUGUAUUUUUGAGAUGGAGUCUCACUCUGUCGCCCAGGCUGGAGUGCAGUGGCACAAUCUCGGCUGACUGCAGGCUCCGCCUCCCAGGUUCACACCAUUCUCCUGCCUUAGCCUCCCGAGUAGCUGGGACUGCAGGUGCCCACCACCACGCCUGGCUAAUUUUUUUGUAUUUUUAGUAGAGACGGGGUUUCACCGUGUUAGCCAGGAUGGUCUUGAUCUCCCGACCUUGUGAUCUGCUGGCCUCGGACUCCCAAAGUGGUGGGAUUACAAGCGUGAGCCACUGCACCCAGCCUAUUUAUUUAUUUAUUUUUUUACUGCAGAUUCUGAUUCAAUAAUUCAGAGAUGAGGCCUGAGAUUCUGCAUUUCUACUGAACUCCCAGGUGAGGCUCAUUGACCCUCAUUUUGUGCCAAGGACCACACCUUGAGGUGCAAGAGGCUAGAAAGCUGAGGGACAAUUGUGGAAGGAAAGAACUGAGCUGCUUGCCAGACCCAGCGCACUCCUUUUUCUCUGGACAGCUGCUGCUUUGCAGAGGGUCGUGGGAGGAGGCAACAAACCCUCAGUGAUACCAGAGAGAAGAAAAGAUUGUGCAAAAGAGUGUAAGAUGCUAAAUGCUUCUGCUGGAAUGGGUGGAGUUCCCGCUGCAUUCUCUAAAGUCUUUGCCACCACCAGAUUACCAACGUUUUCACGAAUUUGCCACCUCCCUACUCCUCUCCUUUCCAAAAGCCCUCAUUGGAAAGAACUUUCUCUCGUGACCCCCUAUUCCAUCUAGUUCCAAUCACUCCCAGCGCCCCCCAUCUCCAUCGGCUUCCCCUCUCCCGCCCAGAAUCCAGGUUCCC
RNAcentral lists this long non-coding RNA (897 nucleotides) under Pan paniscus (pygmy chimpanzee). RNAcentral's name for it is "lncRNA (ENSPPAG00000044575.1)". Lineage: Eukaryota; Metazoa; Chordata; Mammalia; Primates; Hominidae. The record is from RNAcentral.